UACGGGGGGCGCGAGCGUUGUCCGGAAUUAUUGGGCGUAAAGAGCUCGUAGGCGGUCUGUCGCGUCUGCUGUGAAAACUCAGGGCUUAACCCUGAGCUUGCAGUGGGUACGGGCAGACUAGAGUGAUGUAGGGGAGACUGGAAUUCCUGGUGUAGCGGUGAAAUGCGCAGAUAUCAGGAGGAACACCGAUGGCGAAGGCAGGUCUCUGGGCAUUAACUGACGCUGAGGAGCGAAAGCAUGGGGAGCGAACAGG
Molecule: ribosomal RNA, 253 nt
Filed under: uncultured bacterium
Lineage: Bacteria
Description: partial 16S ribosomal RNA
Rfam family: Bacterial small subunit ribosomal RNA
Source: RNAcentral